Non-coding RNA from Trematomus bernacchii (emerald rockcod), 704 nucleotides. Lineage: Eukaryota; Metazoa; Chordata; Actinopteri; Perciformes; Nototheniidae. The record is from the annotation of a RefSeq genome assembly.
UUUGAGUUUGUGUCCACUGUGGUUGUGAGAUCAGGGAGCUUUCUCAGUGAUACAUGCUUGUUGACAGUGCAGGAGGUUUUUGUACGGCCACUUAAUGAGUUUGUAUCACUGUGGUACACUUUUGGUGGAGGAACCAAACUCAUCUUUCACUCGGGCGCCAUGCUCAGGCCCUCCGUCUCUCUGCUGGCCCCCUCCUCCUCUGAGCAGCUCUCUGGGGGCUCGCUCACACUGGCCUGCCUGCUGACCGGCUACUCUCCUCAGGGAGCCGUGGUGAGCUGGGAGGUGGACGGCACAGAGGUGACAGAGGGGGUCCUGAGCAGCUCGGAGGAGGAGAAGAGCGGACGCUACAGCAGCAGCAGCAGCCUGAGCCUGAGCCAGGAGCGCUGGAUGUCAGGAGAGCUGUACUCCUGCAGGGUCCUCCAUCAUGGCCACGGCCAGACCCAGUCCCUCCGCAGGAGCCGGUGUGAGGGCUAGAGGGGCCGCUGGAGCCCAGGAGAACACAUGCUGCUCUGAUCAUCAGGAGUUUUAAUGUUUGUAGAGGAAAGUGAAGCUUUGUGUGGCCGAGAACAACACUGCUGUAAAGUGUUGGACAGCAACAACUCAGAGAGUGAUGUGUGAAGCUCAGCAGAGAUGAGAGUGUGCUUAGUAACUGUCAUGUUGAUGAUUCAGGAUGUUCCUAAUAAAGCUUUCUCUGAUAAAUAACA